This 80-nucleotide non-coding RNA is filed under the name unclassified sequences. The record is from Rfam.
CUGACCAGGACGCAUGGGUCGACGUUCGUGCAACGAGCCCCUUCCUCCUGCUGAUGCAGGUGGAUGCGACCAAAAGUCAG